Molecule: ribosomal RNA, 1246 nt
Filed under: metagenome
Description: bacterial LSU rRNA
Rfam family: Bacterial large subunit ribosomal RNA
Source: RNAcentral
UGAAUACGAGACGCUAAGGCGUCGAAGUAGUGUAUGUCAUACUUCCAAGAAAAGCUUGCACUGUCAUAAGUAAAAAAUGCCUGUACCAUAACCGACACAGGUGGGUAGGUAGAGUAUACUAAGGGGCGCGAGAUAACUCUCUCUAAGGAACUCGGCAAAAUAACUCCGUAACUUCGGGAGAAGGAGUACCUUAUUCUAUAAGGUUGCAAUAACAAGAUCCAAGCAACUGUUUAUCAAAAACACAGGUCUCCGCUAAGUCGUAAGACGAUGUAUGGGGGCUGACGCCUGCCCAGUGCCAGAAGGUUAAAGAAGUCGGUUAGCAUUAGCGAAGCUGGUAACUGAAGCCCUGGUGAACGGCGGCCGUAACAAUAACGGUCCUAAGGUAGCGAAAUUCCUUGUCGGGUAAGUUCCGACCCGCACGAAAGGCGUAAUGAUUUGGAUACUGUCUCGGAGAGGGGCUCGGUGAAAUAGACUUGUCUGUGAAGAUGCGGACUACCUGCACCAGGACAGAAAGACCCUAUGAAGCUUUACUGUAACUUGAAAUUGAAAUUGGACUUUAUUCGCGCAGUAUAGGUGGGAGGUGUUGAUUAUAAUCUUGCGGGAUUAUUGGAGCCAUCAGUGAGAUACCACUCUUGUAAUGUUAGAUUUCUAACUUUGAAUCAUUAUCUGGUCAAAGGACAGUUUCAGGCGGGCAGUUUGACUGGGGCGGUCGCCUCCCAAACGGUAACGGAGGCGUACAAAGGUUUCCUCUGAACGGGUAGAAAUCGUAUCUAGAGUGUAAAGGCAUAAGGAAGCUUGACUGUGAGACCUACAAGUCGAGCAGGGACGAAAGUCGGUCUUAGUGAUCUGACGGUACUGAGUGGAAAGGCCGUCACUCAACGGAUAAAAGUUACUCUAAGGAUAACAGGCUGAUCUCCCCCAAGAGUUCACAUCGACGGGGAGGUUUGGCACCUCGAUGUCGGCUCAUCGCAUCCUGGGGCGGUAGUACGUCCCAAGGGUUGGGCUGUUCGCCCAUGAAAGCGGUACGCGAGCUGGGUUCAGAACGUCGUGAGACAGUUCGGUCCAUAUCCGGUGUAGGCGUUAGAAUAUUGAGAGGAGCCUUCUUUAGUACGAGGGGACCGAGAAGGACAUACCUCUGGUGUACCAGUUAUCGUGCCAACGGUAAACGCUGGGUAGCUAUGUAUGGAGUGGAUAACCGCUGAAAGCAUCUAAGUGGGAAGCCCACCUCAAGAUAAGUAUUCUCAUC